RNAcentral lists this microRNA (23 nucleotides) under Callorhinchus milii (elephant shark). Its description in RNAcentral is "eshark_NOVEL_209". The record is from RNAcentral. Lineage: Eukaryota; Metazoa; Chordata; Chondrichthyes; Chimaeriformes; Callorhinchidae.
UCCGCACAGUGUCGUAGCACAGG